RNAcentral lists this ribosomal RNA (428 nucleotides) under uncultured bacterium. RNAcentral describes it as "partial 16S ribosomal RNA". It matches the Rfam family "Bacterial small subunit ribosomal RNA", at positions 354 to 796 of the family's 1533-position model. The record is from RNAcentral.
GUGGGGAAUAUUGGGCAAUGGGCGAAAGCCUGACCCAGCAACGCAGCGUGAAGGAAGAAGGUUUUCGGAUUGUAAACUUCUGUCCUCAGGGAAGAAGAAAGUGACGGUACCUGAGGAGGAAGCCCCGGCUAACUACGUGCCAGCAGCCGCGGUAAUACGUAGGGGGCGAGCGUUGUCCGGAAUGACUGGGCGUAAAGGGCGCGUAGACGGCUGUCUAAGUCUGGAGUGAAAGUCCUGCUUUCAAGGUGGGAAUUGCUUUGGAGACUGGAUGGCUUGAGUGCGGAAGAGGUAAGUGGAAUUCCCAGUGUAGCGGUGAAAUGCGUAGAGAUUGGGAGGAACACCAGUGGCGAAGGCGACUUACUGGGCCGUAACUGACGUUGAUGCGCGAAAGCGUGGGGAGCGAACAGGAUUAGAAACCCUUGUAGUCC